ACCUCCGCUCCGCAUCCUCUCAGGCCUCCGCCUUCUCAGCUCUACUAGGUUGGGGAGGGAGCUUGCUGUAGAUGCUGGGCAGGUGAUGGCGAGCACCUCACUUUGGGGAUAGGUUGAAACUCUCCCUGCAGACUAUUCUUUGCGUGCAUCAGAGGCAGGGUUCGCUUAUUUACUUUGAUGGGACAGACAAGAGAAUAGAAAAUACCUUUGCUCCCUCAGACAUCUUCAAGCUAUCUUAUUAAGGGGAUUUAUUUUUCCGCUUGUGGAAAGCGCUGUCUAGCGGCCCUACACCCUGGAUUUGCUUUAGCUCUUCCUACCAGUUAUGCACACCCUUCCCUCCAGUCUCUAAAGGCAUAACUGGGUCUUUCCCGAAUAAGGCUUCAGAGCCCCCAAGGCCCUAUAGUGUAUCUUUAUAUUUUCCCUUUGUUUGCUUAGCUUAACAGUUUUUGAGGUGCCAAAAGAGCCUAAGAAACAACUACGUAAAGGACAUGCUGUGUAAAAUGCGCAAAGACGUUGAACUUGGUCAAACUCAUACACUGAACACCAUUUAACAUAAUGCUAUCCCUUAUCCAUCAAGGCCAAUAGCUGGAAAUUUUUUUAUGCUUCCACCAAAUAUAAGACAACUAAAAAACUUUUUUUUUCCUUCUUAAAAAACGGGAUCUCCUUUUGUUGCCUACACUGUUAACCAACCCUUGAAUCCCAACGAUUCUUUGGCCUCAGCCUCUGGAAUAGCUGAGACUACAGGACUUCUCCACACAGAAGAUAUUUUUUACAGGAUCAACUGAGAUGUAUGCCCAAGAAGCAUGGCAGUCUGUGCCUCAAUCUGGAUCUGCUGCAAACACUUUUCUUGUCACUUGGUGUGGUUCAGAGAAGUAUUCUCAGCUGUGGAAAAUGCUGCUUCAAGAUCUGAAGAAAACUACCAGAUCUUGUGUUUACUUUUGCACAAUGGAAAAUAAACAUUAUAUCAAUUCUGCCUUUAUUUCAGAAGGAUAUUCUAGCAGGCCCCAAACCACUAGAGACCUAAAUCUGAAACUAAAAUGAUGAGCCUUUGAAUCUUCAUAGGAUUUAUUCUUAAACCUUUGGAAUAUAAAUAUCUUACCAAGGACUUUAAAAUGUUAGCCACUUCUUGUUCAUCCAGUCUGAUUAGCAUGAUGUCCUUGACAUGAUAUAACAGUGUGAUACUCUUCAAGAUAUCCAACUAGGUUAUAUAUCUCCAAAUUCUAUCAUGACAGAAGAGUAAGAAAACUGAUAUAGUCCCAAGGCAAGGUGGGAAAUGCAUACUAUUGUAAGCAUUUGUAAAUAAAUGUGAAUUAUUUCUGACUUUUUUUUUUUUGAAAGGAGGGGAAGGGAUGAAUUUGCAAGAUCCCAGUGUUAUAGACUGACUUGUCUUCCCCCAAAAUUUGUAUGAGGAAGCUUUCCACCAAUUCCUUAGAAUAUGACUAUAUUUCAAUAUAGGGCCUUUUAAAAGGUAAUUAAGAUUAAAUUAGGUCAUUAUGGUGGGCCCUAAUUCAAUGUGAUUGGAGUCCUUAUAAGAAAAGAGAGGGACACCAGGAAUGUGCACAGUCAGAGAAAAGACCAUGUGAGGACAGAGGGAAAAAGGUAAUCAUCUACUGCCCUAGAGAGAGAGACCUAGAGGAAACCAAACCUGUCAAUAUCAAACACAUUGAUUUUGGAUUUCCAUACUCCAGAACUGUGAGAUAUAAACUUCUGUUGUGUAGGAGACUCAGUCUGUGGUGUUUUGUUAAGGUGACUCCAACCAACUAACACAAGCAGCUACAUACCAUGUAGCUGAGUCUUUGUUAAUUUACUCUAGUAAGGGUACCACGUUUAGCACAGUAGCUAUAACUGGACUACCACUUAGUUAGGUUAGCAAUAGUGUACUAUCAUUCUAUAGACACCAUGUUUAUUUUUGUUUCAAGGGAGGUAGUGGGAGCUAAGUGGAAUAAGUUGAAGACUGUCACUGCUGCUUGCUUUUGCCCUUUAGAGUGGUAAUAAUUAUUGCCUUACCCUAGAAUGUGAUAUUAAUUUUAAUUUACUAUCUUGCUGAGGUUAGGAGAAUUUUCAGAGACUUCCAUUUUUCCUUCCACAUCAUAAUGACUCAUUCUAGAGCUUGAGAAUACAACAUAAGUGUUGAGCCAAAACCAAGAAUGUUUAUUCCAAUUAUGCAUUCAAAAACUGAUAAAGUGAUUGCCCCAUAGGUCUCCAGAUUCAGAUCACUCAUGUUGAAGCAAACCUAGACUGGGAUUUCUUUUAUCAUAUGAUCCCCAGUAAUAAUUUCCAAUCCAGGGAGUUGACUUUUAUUGGCCUCCUGGUCAAUCCAUCCUGGAUUUGUUUGUUCUUUUUGUUUUGUUUUUGUUUUUUUUGAUUAUACAACUGAAUACCCUUGAUGACUAUCUACUUUGUCCUAAGGAUGCCAUAUUUUAUUUCCACAGAUCCCUAUGUGUUAAGAUCCUUGGUUGCCUCUCUAACCUUUCCAUUUGUCACAGUAGUUUUGUCCACUUAGCUUCUGAUGAUUCAGUGCCUCCAUCACCUAGCCUCUAUUAUUUCAAUUCGCUAUUGCUUUUAUCAGUGAGCCUACUUCUAUAACCUUUCUUAUUUCCUUAAUAACCAGGGACAUUUUAGUGAUUUUUUUAUCAUCAGUACAUUUUAUUAUUGCCUCCAGAAAUGAAGUAUCCCUUGUGCCCUCCCAUGUAACAUAGCCAAAUCAUAGGUUUACUAAUUUUACUUAUUUGACUCUAGCAUACCCAAUAAAUCUCUGAGCUAUUCAUUUUUUUCUUCCACCAUCAGACAUAGUGAUUUAGCUGUGGGGUAUGGCUUUUUCCAUACUUCUAGAAACUACCCUAUUACCCUUUGCAGAAAGGAUGAAAAUUUUAUCUUCUUGAGUCCUUAACAUGAUGUUAAUCCCAUGUUCCAGGACGGUGCUCCACAACCAAAAAAUUCUCCCUUAUCUAACUCUGUGUUCUCCUAACUCACAUCCCCAGUCCAGUUUCCUCAGAAGGUACCCUUAUGUGUAAUUUUGUGGGUACUUGCUGGAAGUGUAAGUAUUCUAUUCAUGAAAUAUAAGUGCAUCUUUGGACUCAGGUUCAAUCCUGUCUAUUUUGUAUCCCAUUUAUGAAAGCAUGUUGCUGAACACUAUGCCUUAUGACUUCGUAGUUCAGAUGAUAUUCUGUUCAUGAUGGGCGCAGCUUCACUCAAAGAUGAUAUAUAGUGAAUGCCCAUGUAUGUACAUGCUGCCAUUCAAGGAAGCAAAGCUCAUUGAGUUUUGUAUUUUUAUUUUAGUGCAAAACAAUGCACUUAUACCAUGUUUUAUUGGUUUGGUUUGGUUUGGUUUUGUGUUUUGUUUUUUCAUUCUGGUAAAGAAUUCCCAAUGUACCCCAGACCAUGGUUGGCAUGGAAAUCCCAAAAUAUGCCUGAGGUCAAGACAUUUGUACUAGGGAAAUGGGGUGUCUUAUCCUCUAGUAUAAAUGCUUUACCACAGCAUUUAGAUCUUGAUAUUUUCCACUUAUCAGAUUCUGAAUGUCAGAAAAAAUAUAAUUAAGAUAGUAAACUAAUAUAAUGUCCUAUUACAGUGAUCCAAAUUAUUGUAUUUUCAGAACACAUUAACACAAAUAUUCCAAAGUUAUUGUAUAAUCCAUUGCCUUCUUGAAAUUUUUGGCAUGCAUGUGACCCCUUGGACAUGCUGGGAUUACACUGAGGUUAUAAGUGCAAUGCAGGUAUACUUAUAGAAACAACUGAGGAGGAUUAAGUUCUUGUAAGAUAAUUGCCUCAAAUGACUAAAUUACUGAAUCUUUUUUGCAAGCAGGAAUCUGUUUCUUCAUGAGGAGAAACAGGACCUGUUUCUUUUAUUAGGAUCAUUCCAUGGGGUUUGGGCAUUUAGAAAAACUCCGAGCCAUCUGAAUCUUCCCACAUGUCUUCACUCUAAUUCUCAGAGCUCCAUUGUCUUUCAGUAAAUGUUUCCUUUCAUAUAAGAGAUCUAUAGAGUAUGAAUUCAACUUACUAUAAAUACAGCAACUCAAAGGAUGAAAAUUUUAUUUGAUUUUUUAGUUUCCUUAAUGUUUGAAGUUGCAUAUGACAAAGUAUUAUUUUACAAUUGAUAGAAAUGUCUUGUUUCUGUAACAGUGAUUUCAACCAAGAUUUCAGGAUUUUUAGAUAAUCAUUCACAUUUGAAAUAAGCAGUCAAUCCCACAGUCCUUGAAUGUUCAAGAUUAAUACACUGUUCCAUAUUUUUAGCAAUUGACUUGCAAGGCCUUCCCAUCAAUCAUACUUCAUUCUAAAUAAUAUCUGAGUUAGUUGUUUUGUUACCAUGUACUAUUAAGGGCCACAGCCUUUCUUUCAAUAUUAGAUAUAUUCUCUCAGCCUUUCUUUUUAGUGCAGAAAUCUCAUCAUGCCCCCAGAAUAAACCUACUUUUUCUGUUUGUUUGUUUGUUUGUUUUUUGUUAUAUCCUUUUCUUUCUACUACUUACACAUUGCUAUAUUAUUUAUGAAUCUUAGCAGCAAAGAUACAAAUCCAUUCUGGUUCGUUUGUCCAGAAAAGGACAAAAUCACAUAUGAACUAGAGAAGGCUCAAGUCUUAUGCAGCCAAGAAAAAAUGUGGUUUAACUAUAUCACACACCUUCAAAGAGGAAACUACCACUCUAGCUACUGCCUUCACUCGGAACCCUAAAAUCACUGAAACUCACACAAAGUCAGAACUUCUACUACAAUCUACAGUAGCAAAAACAGAAGAUUUUCACAAAGCCUGUUUUCCUCUAAUUUAUCAAUCAAGACUUCAAUUGGUUGGUUGUGUGACUGGCAGAGGCUAGGUUACAUGUUUGUGUCCUUACUGGCUGGAAAGACAUAAUUGAUGACAUAUUCUCCAAAUUGUUAUAUUCUCCAAAUAUAAAGAAGUUUUUCAAAAGAAAAUGGGAAGAUAUAAUAGGACAGAUGCACACGCACAUGGUAGCACAUUCAUUUUCAUUUUGAUGAAAUACGUAUUCAGGUUAUUUGUCCAUUCUUUAUUUAGGUGUUUUUAAUAUUGACUUUUCCCAGUUUGUCUUUUCUUGCAAUACUGUUUGCACCAGGAAUUAUUUGUUAUAUAUUUAAAUGAACCAGAAUUUUAUGUAAAAAAGAGUUCUGUUUAUGUCAAACAGAAAAUAAAAUUUUCAUUAUUAAAAAACAAA
Molecule: non-coding RNA, 5159 nt
Organism: Ictidomys tridecemlineatus (thirteen-lined ground squirrel)
Lineage: Eukaryota; Metazoa; Chordata; Mammalia; Rodentia; Sciuridae
Source: RefSeq, a predicted model, not a curated record